UUUUUUCCCCGUGCAAGAAGGUGUGUUGGGUGUGGUGACACAUGUGAGGAUGGCGGCAGCAAAAAAAAAGAAGCUGGACAUAAGGAGCUUUUUUUCAAAGAAAAGUACCCGUUCCCGAACCUGACCCGUCUUCUCUCCUGCUGAGCCCGGCAAGUCCUGUUCCCGUUUCCCCGUGUGUUCCAGUCCUGUGCCCCCGUGUAGGAAGGAUUCCCCGGCUUCAGACCCACGCCUUUGGACCUCGACUAUUCUUUCAGCCUGUUCCCUCUAACCCGUCUCCAGUGCCGUUAUUAAAGAGCGCUGUGAAACGCAUUUCUGGAUUCCUUUCCCCUUUUUGUGGGCAGUGUCACAAUAAUAUUGCCAUGGCUAGAAUUUUAUUGACAGUUCACCAAUAGACAAUCCACUUUGCACAAAUAGUUUUUAAAAUGCAUUCACUGACUUGGCAAACAUUAAUGAUUUGAUUCGAGAUUUGCACACUAAGACUCAGAAAAAGUGAAAUAAAAUGAUUGCUGUUUAAAUGGCAUGUGUUUAUCCUGUUUUGUCAGGUGACAGAACCUAAACAACUGUGCUGUGUAUCAGACAGUGAUGGAGAGAAGGGGUCACAGGGGACAGAAGCAGAUCAGCCAUGUUGUAGUUCAGGUGAAGAGGCAAGGUCACAGGAGGUGAAUCUGAAUGUUCUGUUAACGAGAGGCGAAGGCAUGUUUUUGGCUCCUUCAUAUAGGAGCAAUAGGCAUUGAGGGGGUGGAGUCAUAGGUCCCCACCAAUGUCCAGAGCAAAUCUACGCCCUUGCCUAAGUGCAAAAGAAAAGGAAACCAAAAGACAAACACUCCACCUCAC
Molecule: long non-coding RNA, 834 nt
Organism: Brienomyrus brachyistius
Lineage: Eukaryota; Metazoa; Chordata; Actinopteri; Osteoglossiformes; Mormyridae
Exons: 3
Source: RefSeq, a predicted model, not a curated record